This 71-nucleotide transfer RNA is filed under the name Loxodonta africana (African savanna elephant). It matches the Rfam family "tRNA". From Rfam's summary of the family: Transfer RNA (tRNA) molecules are approximately 80 nucleotides in length. Their secondary structure includes four short double-helical elements and three loops (D, anti-codon, and T loops). Further hydrogen bonds mediate the characteristic L-shaped molecular structure. tRNAs have two regions of fundamental functional importance: the anti-codon, which is responsible for specific mRNA codon recognition, and the 3' end, to which the tRNAs corresponding amino acid is attached (by aminoacyl-tRNA synthetases). tRNAs cope with the degeneracy of the genetic code in two manners: having more than one tRNA (with a specific anti-codon) for a particular amino acid; and 'wobble' base-pairing, i.e. permitting non-standard base-pairing at the 3rd anti-codon position. Lineage: Eukaryota; Metazoa; Chordata; Mammalia; Proboscidea; Elephantidae. The record is from Rfam by way of RNAcentral.
GCAGUGGUGGUUCAGUGGUAGAAUCCUCACCUUCUAUGCAGGAGACCGAGGUUCAUUUCCUGGCCAGUGCC